GCUUGUCUCAAAGAUUAAGCCAUGCAUGUCUAAGUAUAACUCUUUUACUUUGAAAACUGCGAACGGCUCAUUAUAUCAGUUAUAGUUUCUUUGAUAGUCCCUUACUACUUGGAUACCCGUAGUAAUUCUAGAGCUAAUACAUGACUCAAAGACCGACUUACGAAGGUCUGUGUUUAUUAGAUGGAAACCAAAGCGGGGAAACCCGGAUUUAUGGUGAUUCAUAAUAACCCUCCGAUCGGCUAUGCCGACGCAUCAUUCAAGUUUCUGCCCUAUCAGCUUUGGACGGUAGGGUAUUGGCCUACCGUGGCUUUAACGGGUAACGGAGAAUUAGGGUUCGAUUCCGGAGAGGGAGCCUGAGAAAUGGCUACCACAUCCAAGGAAGGCAGCAG
RNAcentral lists this ribosomal RNA (389 nucleotides) under uncultured Chrysophyceae. RNAcentral's name for it is "partial small subunit ribosomal RNA". It matches the Rfam family "Eukaryotic small subunit ribosomal RNA", at positions 30 to 431 of the family's 1831-position model. Lineage: Eukaryota; Chrysophyceae. The record is from RNAcentral.